This 307-nucleotide long non-coding RNA is filed under the name Hermetia illucens (black soldier fly). RNAcentral describes it as "uncharacterized LOC119650127, transcript variant X3". The record is from RNAcentral. Lineage: Eukaryota; Metazoa; Arthropoda; Insecta; Diptera; Stratiomyidae.
UAGUCUUGUUUCUAUAUCAUAGUACGGAAGUACUAAAAGAAACAACUGUGUAACAAAUACACACUAAGUGUUGUUACUUAACUCUCUUCAUCCUAUCAAGUAACUUUUGAUCUUUAUUGGUGAUGUCUCAGCAAAUUCUGAAAUUAUAAUUUUUGAUUAGUAGUCAUUAUGGAAAUGCUACAAGGACCUUCGGAAACGCUUGCGUCCUAAGAGUGGAGAAUUGCUUUAAACGGACGAACUUCCGGAAGAUUCAUGAUGGGGAAUGUCCACAAUGAAGAUAAUUAUGAUUGCAAUAUGCGAAUGCGAU